GCAGUGACUUCUCUUUCAUGCGCGUGUGUAUGUGUCCUUCUCUUGUCAAGGCCUGUUUUUGAUCUCUCUGGAUUGAUUGUAGUCUAGCAGUGUCUGAUCAAGGAGCAUCCUUUUUCUUUUUUCAUAUUUCAUAUAUUUGUAGAUGUCCAGAUGAAAAACAGGUCCUGUGAUGUUAUUGCCCGCCCCAAAAAAAGGGCACUGACAUUGCCCAAAAAAGGGCAACAUAGAUAGUUCGGCGCGUUCAAACGUGAAAGUAUCGCUGGCGAAAACAAAUAACAUUCAUCAUAAAUCUGAAAAGCAGAAGGACCGACUAAAGUCCGGGACUGGAAGUCGUCACGCACAUAAGUAAGAAACCAAAAAAUGAGCAAUGCUCAAUGGAACCUUUUCAGAACGACUUUGUGAUCAGCCAUCAAGCAGGCGAUCGUUUGUACGCGUCCUGCGAUUGAUUGGUGACCGCUCUGCCGUUUGUCUGCGUGUGGCCUGCAGGUUGCGAGUUGGUCUGGGUCUUAUAAUUGACUUCCAGGCGAGAGAGGGAGGGGGCAUGAGUGCGAAGCGGUCGUAAAAAAGGCCAAAAUUCAGAAGACUCAUGGCAUUCUCGGCCUGCUUUGACCACAUGCAAGCGUGGAAGAAUAAGUCACAAAUCGACGUUUCGACGGAUGGAGUCGCUCUCGAGGAGAAGAAAGUUGAUUGCUAUUUGCGCAAGUCACAAACGUGUCACGAAGAACAGGUUGACCAAGGCUUUCUGUCAGCUUCUUCAGAACCAAAGUGAAUCAUGUUUUGGAUUCCAGAAAUGCAGGCUCAGACAAAGUGCAAAAACAAAAAUAUUUAUUGCAGAAAAGUACAGGCUCAAAUCGCUGGCCACAAGGAGCCAGGAAAAGCAAAGAAACA
Long non-coding RNA from Hippocampus zosterae (dwarf seahorse), 888 nucleotides. RefSeq lists it as uncharacterized. The record is from RefSeq and is a predicted model, not a curated record. NCBI's taxonomy places the organism in Eukaryota, Metazoa, Chordata, Actinopteri, Syngnathiformes, Syngnathidae. The transcript has 2 exons.